This 306-nucleotide long non-coding RNA is filed under the name Phoenix dactylifera (date palm). Its description in RNAcentral is "long non-coding RNA (PDAC_LNC014492)". Lineage: Eukaryota; Viridiplantae; Streptophyta; Magnoliopsida; Arecales; Arecaceae. The record is from RNAcentral.
GCCCCUUCUGUCUUCAGAGCGUCGUUGCAUCCAGUUUCUGAAAGCAAUAAAAUUGCAUGAAUACUCUUCAAAAUUACUAUUUGUAUUAUACUCUUAUAAAUAUUUCUUUUUACAUAUUUAUUUAUUAAUAAUAUUUUGUUAUUUUAAUUUUAAACCAAUAAAUAGCAUGAAUACAUAUAAAAAAAGAAUAUAUAUACAAAACAAGUAUUUGAUGAGGAUAUACAUCCAAAUAUUAAUUUUAAAAAAAAUAUUUAUACAAAUUCUAAUAUUUAAAAGAAUAUGUAUAAAAAAUGUUAUUAUAUAUAU